GGAUUCUUGACUGCAAUCGCGGCUUCUUCACCAUCCGCAUGAAUGACCCGUCUAACAAAAUCUUCUACUUCCUCUGAUCCCAGACAGAAUCUCACUAUGUC
Long non-coding RNA from Lemur catta (Ring-tailed lemur), 101 nucleotides. RefSeq lists it as uncharacterized. The record is from RefSeq and is a predicted model, not a curated record. The transcript is spliced from 3 exons. NCBI's taxonomy places the organism in Eukaryota, Metazoa, Chordata, Mammalia, Primates, Lemuridae.